UUUGUACCGUAUCGUUGCCUUCAUGUAACUCUGAAGUUGUGUCAAAAUAAACAUUAAUGAAAAUUCUCAGCAAAAGUCAUACAUAUUCUUGCCAGGGCGAGACACUAGCUCAUGACUGUGUCGCUUCCUUUGUUUUGGGCUCAGUGUUAUGAACUGGGUACAGGAACGCCUGCCGUUUACCUCGGGCCUCUCAAAAGCCCAGACAAGCACAGGCAACAAAAGCAAAAACAGACAGAUGGUCCAACAUUGAGGUUAAACAUUUCUGCACGUGAAACAACAGUGUAAAAGAGGAAGGCCUCUUUGCCAGUGGAGACACAGGAAGGCCUCGGUCUCCUGCUGGUCCCUGGGCAAUGGACCGUCUUGGUGUAAAACCCGAUUGUAUGUUCUAUUUACUGCGAUAGGAGAAAACCGCCUUAGGGCUGUAUCCCGGCCCGCGGGAUAGUCGAAGCAGGCCCUGGAGGAGGGGGUGGGAAUUUGGGGAACAAGAGAUACGAGAAAUGGAGACAAGACAGUACUCUGAUCAAGUCUCUCUUAAUGGCGGUAAUGCAGUGCCUUAUAUACACUUGGAGGGGAAGGGGUUGGGCCAGAGGCGGAGAUGAUCUCAUCGCAGAGGGCGUGACCAAGUAGGUAUUGGUUUCUCUGGUCGAACGUCAUGUUGCACCUGCGCUGUCAGGUAGUAAUUUUCGCGGGCGCGGGAAAAAUGGGUGAAGAAGCAGCAGGAAGAGCGCCAUCUUCUAUGAGGUAUUAAUACAGGGAAAAAGGUAAAUCUGGGGAGGAGGUAGAAGGUGGAAAUGAAUAGAGCUCAGGCGUUUUUAAUCGUCAGUUAUUAUUCGCUAUGGCCAGGGCGUGCAGCUCCGGACAGGGCUGGAGGUGAGCUGUGCGUGCUAGUGGCAAUGCUGCUCUUUAAUGCACGAAAAUGUUUGUGGGAUGUUUGUAUUUGCACAUCAAAGCACAGCACCUUUCCUUAAACUUAAUUGAUGACACAGAGAUCUCUGUUCGCAUGUUUUCCUGCUGACCCUCUCCCCACUGUUACCCUAUUGUCCUGCCACAUCCCCCUCUCCCCUCUCCGAGAUGGUAAAGAGAUAAUGAUCAAUAAAUACUGAGGGAACUCAGAGACCAGUGCGUCCUCCGUAUGCUGAGCGCCCGUCCCCUGGGCCCACUUUUCUUUCUCUAUACGUUGUCUCUGUGUCUCUUUCUUUUCUCAAUCCCAUCCCACCUGACGAGAAACGCCCACAGGUGUGGAGGGGCAGGCCACCCCUUCACAUAUAAUGAAAUAGGAAUCAGCCCUAAAAAGGAAGGAAUGGUGAGACAGGCUACCACACGGACUCACCUGCGGGUAACGAGAUAAGCCAGACAAAAAAGCGCUGUGUGACCCCACUCCUACGAGGUCUCUGGAGGACUCAAAUCCAUAGACACAGACAGUAGAAUGUUCUCGUGGGUGCUGUACUGAAACAUUACAACGAGACGGCGUCCCUGCGAGGCUCCCGAGGGAGGGAGCAGGAAGAUCCAGGCGGCAUCUUGAAGGUACAGCGUGUUCACAAAUCUCCCAGGCCACAAGCAAGGAGCCAGCCGGCUCUGAAUUCUCCAGCACAGUCAGGGCGCAAGUCAAAGGGCUUCCGAUCAGACCUAAAGAGAUCCCGCAGGAAGUCCUGACGUUCACAGCUAGCAGGGCUCUGUGCGGGCCAACACGCCGCCCAUGGGUGCUCUGGAAAAUCACGUGAAGAUGGUGCAACGGGGAGAGUUAGAGAGCCCUAAAAGCAAGUCUCAGGCCAGAUUCUGCCACGUGCCUCGUUUGCAAACAAGCCCUAAAGAUAUCCCCAAAAGAUAUAGGACGUUAUUUGGAAACAGGAUACUUGCAGAUGUAAUCAAGCUGAGAUGAGGUCAUCCAGGAGUAGGGUAGGCUAUAAAUCCAAUGCGUGGUGUCCUUACCGGAGAAGGGGAAAGACAGAAAACGCACAGAGAGCAGGCCACGUGGAGACAGAGGCAGGGACUGGAGGGAGGCAGCCACACGCCCAGGGACGCCUGGAGCCCCCAAGGAGCUGGGAGAGGCGGGAAGGAGCCUUCCCUAGAGCCUCGAGAGGGAGCACGGCCCUCUGACUUCUGCCCCCAGCACCGUGAGGAUAAAU
This is a long non-coding RNA of Macaca mulatta (Rhesus monkey), 2126 nucleotides long. NCBI's taxonomy places the organism in Eukaryota, Metazoa, Chordata, Mammalia, Primates, Cercopithecidae. The record is from Ensembl.